UGGUAACAGUUGUAAGAAUAUUUGAGUG
RNAcentral lists this non-coding RNA (28 nucleotides) under Mus musculus (house mouse). Lineage: Eukaryota; Metazoa; Chordata; Mammalia; Rodentia; Muridae. The record is from RNAcentral.